GCCCCGGUAGCUUCAGCUGGAUAGAGCAGCCCCCUCCUAAGGGGCAGGUCGGACGUUCAAGUCGUCUCCGGGGCACCA
RNAcentral lists this transfer RNA (78 nucleotides) under Gammaproteobacteria bacterium. RNAcentral's name for it is "tRNA-Arg". The record is from RNAcentral. Lineage: Bacteria; Pseudomonadati; Pseudomonadota; Gammaproteobacteria.